RNAcentral lists this ribosomal RNA (452 nucleotides) under uncultured bacterium. Its description in RNAcentral is "bacterial SSU rRNA". It matches the Rfam family "Bacterial small subunit ribosomal RNA", at positions 337 to 782 of the family's 1533-position model. The record is from RNAcentral.
UCCUACGGGAGGCAGCAGUGGGGAAUAUUGGACAAUGGGCGAAAGCCUGAUCCAGCAAUACCGCGUGUGUGAAGAAGGCCUUAGGGUUGUAAAGCACUUUCAAUUGGGAGGAAAACCUGCCGGUCAAUACCCGGUAGCUUGACAUUACCUUUAGAAGAAGCACCGGCUAACUCCGUGCCAGCAGCCGCGGUAAUACGGAGGGUGCGAGCGUUAAUCGGAAUUACUGGGCGUAAAGCGUGCGUAGGCGGUUCGUUAAGUCAGAUGUGAAAGCCCUGGGCUCAACCUGGGAACUGCAUUUGAAACUGGCGGACUAGAGUUUAGUAGAGGGGAGUGGAAUUUCAGGUGUAGCGGUGAAAUGCGUAGAUAUCUGAAGGAACACCAGUGGCGAAGGCGACUCCCUGGACUAGAACUGACGCUGAGGUACGAAAGCGUGGGUAGCAAACAGGAUUAGA